UAAUCCAGCUACUAGCUAACAGUAACUUAGCGUCCCGUGCAGCAAUGCUUCUGAAAAAAAAAAGACAGGCUC
Molecule: long non-coding RNA, 72 nt
Organism: Etheostoma cragini (Arkansas darter)
Lineage: Eukaryota; Metazoa; Chordata; Actinopteri; Perciformes; Percidae
Exons: 3
Source: RefSeq, a predicted model, not a curated record